CGAAUUGCGCUAUGUAAUGUGNAUUGCAGAAUUCAGUGAAUCAUCGAAUCUUUGUACGCACAUUGUA
RNAcentral lists this ribosomal RNA (67 nucleotides) under uncultured Clavariaceae. Its description in RNAcentral is "partial 5.8S ribosomal RNA". It matches the Rfam family "5.8S ribosomal RNA", at positions 49 to 115 of the family's 154-position model. From Rfam's summary of the family: 5.8S ribosomal RNA (5.8S rRNA) is a component of the large subunit of the eukaryotic ribosome. It is transcribed by RNA polymerase I as part of the 45S precursor that also contains 18S and 28S rRNA. Lineage: Eukaryota; Fungi; Basidiomycota; Agaricomycetes; Agaricales; Clavariaceae. The record is from RNAcentral.